AUGGCUGCUCUGGGUCUGGUCCUGUUCACUUCUGGCGUCCCAGCCGUGACAGCACCACCGUUCUAAGUUCGGCGGCUCUGUGUUACAACUCCGAGGCCAAGCCGAAUCCAUCCAGUUAACUAGCUGAGUACCUGGGCCUUUCUGAGGCUGCUUCCCCAUUUGGUAGAUGGGUCCAAACCCACCAGCUUGUUGCAGUUGAAGGCCACCUGAGACACAUCCACGCCCCGCUGCCUGAAGUCGGCCACCAGGAAGCUUGAGGUGGAGCCCGAGCCAAGGGAAGGGCAAGGAGACACAAAUUAGAGCCUACGAGUGGCCUGGGCCUCCCUCAGGGUUGAGGAGGAAUGCCGGAGCAGGGGUGCCUCUCUGAGAAGAAGGGUCCCGUUCCGGGAGUUCGGUGAUGGCGGCGGCGGCGGCAGCUGGCAAGGUCCUGGCUGAGGUAAACUCCAACCCGGAUCCUGUCCUUCAGUCUGACUCAAGCCAGAAGGAUGUGCUCAGUGAACCCAGAUGGGGUAGAUCUGGGGGCCUGGAGCACGUGCCCUGUUUGAACGAAGCAGGUGAGGGCACUGUGGUCUGUCUCAUGCAAAGCCUUGGCAGAACUGAUAAUUACCAAGGUGGUACUUCGCUCCCCAGCUGCCCUCUACACACUCAUCCUCACGGUACUCUUCCCUCGGGAGUCCCUUGAGUGCUACUGGGAUUCCACUCAGUCCGCGGCUGCCUCCGUGAUGCCCGGCCAGGAAGUGGUGCUGCCUUGGUGAGGCCACCCACCACCCUCACCUCUCGUGGCAAGGUGAACCCCGCAGGCAGUGAGCUGGCUCCCAGUGCCUGAUGCUCCUCGACGUGGGGCCUGGUCCAGGACUCUUCCCCAGAAUCCCCUCUAAUCAGAGUGAGUGGGAGGUGGACCCUGGAGGAGACUGCGCCACCCCCACGCUUCCUGGCCGCAGCGUCUCUGGAAAGUGUCCUAUGACCGCUGGUCCAGCCACCAUCUUGGCCUUUCUCACGCUGAUCAAGCUGGGGCAUCAUUCCUCAUCGUACACCUCAAAGAUCCUUUAAAUAGUAGGAUCCCUCCAAAGCAUGCAAACUACAGGGUGGUUUUCCAAAUGAUUUUUUGCACCCUCCAUGCCUAGCACGUGGUAGGUGCUCAUUAAAUGCUUG
Long non-coding RNA from Lynx canadensis (Canada lynx), 1152 nucleotides. RefSeq lists it as uncharacterized. The transcript has 4 exons. The record is from RefSeq and is a predicted model, not a curated record. NCBI's taxonomy places the organism in Eukaryota, Metazoa, Chordata, Mammalia, Carnivora, Felidae.